This 301-nucleotide ribosomal RNA is filed under the name uncultured bacterium. RNAcentral's name for it is "partial 16S ribosomal RNA". It matches the Rfam family "Bacterial small subunit ribosomal RNA", at positions 509 to 807 of the family's 1533-position model. The record is from RNAcentral.
CAGCAGCCGCGGUAAUACGUAGGGUGCGAGCGUUAAUCGGAAUUACUGGGCGUAAAGCGUGCGCAGGCGGUUGUGUAAGACAGGUGUGAAAUCCCCGGGCUCAACCUGGGAAUGGCGCUUGUGACUGCAAAGCUAGAGUGCGGCAGAGGGGGAUGGAAUUCCGCGUGUAGCAGUGAAAUGCGUAGAUAUGCGGAGGAACACCGAUGGCGAAGGCAAUCCCCUGGGCCUGCACUGACGCUCAUGCACGAAAGCGUGGGGAGCAAACAGGAUUAGAUACCCGAGUAGUCCCUGUCUCUUAUAC